GGGCCCGCACAAGCGGUGGAGCAUGUGGUUUAAUUCGAUGAUACGCGAGGAACCUUACCAGGGCUUAAAUGUACGUUGCAUGAUUUAGAGAUAGAUCUUUCUUCGGACUACGUACAAGGUGCUGCAUGGUUGUCGUCAGCUCGUGCCGUGAGGUGUCAGGUUAAGUCCUAUAACGAGCGCAACCCCUGUCGUUAGUUAUCAGCAAUUAAAGUUGGGUACUCUAGCGAGACUGCCGGUGCAAACCGUGAGGAAGGUGGGGAUGACGUCAAAUCAUCACGGCCCUUACGUCCUGGGCUACACACGUGCUACAAUGGCCGGUACAGAGAGCAGCCACUACGCGAGUAGGAGCGAAUCUUCAAAGCCGGUCUCAGUUCGGAUCGCAGUCUGCAACUCGACGGCAUGAAGUCGGAAUCGCUAGUAAUCG
This 424-nucleotide ribosomal RNA is filed under the name uncultured bacterium. RNAcentral's name for it is "bacterial SSU rRNA". It matches the Rfam family "Bacterial small subunit ribosomal RNA", at positions 917 to 1344 of the family's 1533-position model. The record is from RNAcentral.